GUAUUGUCCAGGUCAAGCAAAUAUAACUGGCAAGACGAACUUGUUUGGUAUGAGAUAAAACACAACACUUAGGUUGAAUGAAAUAAGGCAUUUAUUAAAUGCCAUAAAUGACAAAUGUUACAUAAUAACAAACAUGACAAAUGUUACAUAAUAACAAACAUGGCAAGUACCUAUUUGUAUCGAAAUAACCAAACUGGGAGGUAAAAACCGCCAGAUUAUGAUAACAUUGUAAUGUAAUUCAAAUAGAUUACAAUCUUAACAAAAGUUAUGUAAGAUGACAAAGUUGAACCAAAAACCAUCUACAUAAAUAUAAUAAAAUGGAUUGCUGAUCAAAAACAAUUGACCAGAAAAAAUAAAUAUUUUCCAAAUCGUGGUCGACUCGCCCAGGAAAAACCAUAGUUUGGAAACCUGUGCCCUUUUAUCUUGUGUCUAGUACCACUUGAUGUAGGGCUCCAUCCUUGGAAAAUAGUUUAAACAUUCUAUACAUUAAAAAGUGUAUAACAUAUGACUAGAUCAUAAGUAUUUAUGACAACAAAUAGAAAAAUAUUUGAAAGAGAUAAUAUAA
Molecule: long non-coding RNA, 565 nt
Organism: Ruditapes philippinarum (Manila clam)
Lineage: Eukaryota; Metazoa; Mollusca; Bivalvia; Venerida; Veneridae
Exons: 2
Source: RefSeq, a predicted model, not a curated record